UUGUCACUUCCAGGGGAAGAAAGAUCUUCCGGACUCAUAUCUUCGGAACUCAUCAUUCACUAUCGAUCACAAAUAAAGUUAGUUAUUGUAUACGUGUUUUUUCUCAACUUCGGAUAUUUCGAGUCUGAAUUAUAACACAACUUUCUUUGAUUAUGAAAAAAAUGCUUGAAUUUCCAACUUUACACCUGUGGUCUUCAAUGCC
This 202-nucleotide long non-coding RNA is filed under the name Mytilus galloprovincialis (Mediterranean mussel). The record is from RNAcentral. Lineage: Eukaryota; Metazoa; Mollusca; Bivalvia; Mytilida; Mytilidae.